AUUAUUUCUUCCUCCUUCUACUGCAGUGGAAGAACAUUGUUCAUCUGCUGUGUGUGGCUUUAAGAGCUCCAGAGACAUGUUGCUUUACCUCUUUUUGCUUCUAUCUCACCUUCUAGGACUAACAGCUGGAGACACAAUCUCUGCUGAUAGAGAUGAAGUCAGAGGGACAGAAGGACAACCUGUCUCACUCAGCUGUAGCUAUGAGACAACAUCUGAGUAUCCUGACCUUCACUGGUUCAGACAUGGUUCUGAUCUGGAGGCUGCUUAGUUUCUGCUACUGCUUAAAAGCUGCCAUGCAUGCAGCACAAGGGAGGCUCUCCCCUGCGAUUCCACCCGUUGGUUUGGUUGUUGUUUGGCUUUAGGUUAUUGUUGUUUAUUUCUGGGCUUUGAUUAAUCUUAAUUUUGGUUUCUCGUUUCCUUUUUAGAUUUCAUUUCUUUAAAUGUUCCCCCACUGAACGAGCCUGGUGGACGUAACAAUGGUCUACAGAUGUUUCACUGCAGCUCACUGCAGGAGGCACUGAUGAUUGGAUGGAUUCCAGUGAUGUCAACAGAACCAAAAACCAAUGAGUCCAUCAGUUAGAAAGAAAAACUAACUUCUUUCACAAAUUUUGUUUUUAAUGACCUUGAACAGCACAGAACCAAACCCCAGAACAUCUCACAACAGAGUAGAACAUAUACUGAAGCUUACAUCGAUACGAUAAGAAGCAUAUAGAUGCUAGAUAUUUCAAACAGGCACGAUUAGAGAUAAAACAUUCAUAUAAUGUCUAAAACGUUUAGUUUCUACUCUUCUCUGUUCAUCAUUCCAGGAUAAUUUACUGCAGGUCUAAACAUGGAUCCUGCUGGAAGCUCAACUUCCUGCUCCAGGUUCUACUG
Long non-coding RNA from Girardinichthys multiradiatus, 873 nucleotides. RefSeq lists it as uncharacterized. The transcript is spliced from 2 exons. NCBI's taxonomy places the organism in Eukaryota, Metazoa, Chordata, Actinopteri, Cyprinodontiformes, Goodeidae. The record is from RefSeq and is a predicted model, not a curated record.